Molecule: microRNA precursor, 205 nt
Organism: Oryza sativa Japonica Group (Japanese rice)
Lineage: Eukaryota; Viridiplantae; Streptophyta; Magnoliopsida; Poales; Poaceae
Rfam family: MIR812 microRNA precursor family
Source: Rfam
AAAAAGACAAACUGUGAGUUCUCAUGCCAACGUUUGACUGUCCGUCUUAUAUAAAAUUUUUUAUAAUUAGUAUUUUUAUUGUUGUUAGAUAAUAAAACAUGAUUAAUACUUUAUGCGUGAUUUAUCUUUUUAAUUUUUUUCAUAAUUUUUUUAAAUAAGACGGACGGUCAAACGUUGAACACGGUAACCAAGGUUUGUCUUUUUU